GGCAGGACUGGGAAAUUUGGACCCGCCGGCCACCGCCGGCAGGUUACUGGUGGAAUGCCGCCGCAGGAAACCUGGCGCGAAGCUGGAGCUGGGGGAGGUCACCGAGGUCCCCACGGCCUUCUUGUUCAGCAUGCUGCUGAGGGGACAACACUUUUACAGCAUAUAUCAGAAAAACUGGUUUCAUCAGCUUAGGAAGCUGCAUAAAAAAAAAAACCUGCAGGAGGGUGUGAAUUCACUUUGGCUCCAAGAAAAUUGUUCUUCAUUAAUAUUUCACUCAGACCCAAGGACUCCCAGUUUAGUAGAGAGCUGCUUUAGCUCCAGUCCAGCAGAAUUUCACAUGGAUAUGGCCAACUAAUGUGAACUGGCUGCAAACAAGUAUAGGCAUUAAUGAGUAGCAUAGACCAACAGAGAGAGAUGAGCUUGGUAGCAUAUUCACAACAUAUGGAAGAAUGCAUCAGCAAAGACUCUCAAAGCAGGUUCAUUAGUUAAAGCGUAUGCAAGUUUUGUGGCUAUUUUAAAAUUAGAGUUGAGUAAACUAGCACAUGCAUACAAAACUGCCGACAUCCUUGAAAGCACGUUGUGGAUAUGCUUAGGAUCGUCUUUGUUGAUCUGGAUCUAAAUGGAAUUCAAGGUCUAAUAAUAAAUAAAUAAGUUGAACACUGUU
Neopsephotus bourkii (Bourke's parrot) is the source of this 664-nucleotide long non-coding RNA. RefSeq lists it as uncharacterized. The transcript is spliced from 3 exons. The record is from RefSeq and is a predicted model, not a curated record. Lineage: Eukaryota; Metazoa; Chordata; Aves; Psittaciformes; Psittacidae.